Molecule: non-coding RNA, 2566 nt
Organism: Taeniopygia guttata (zebra finch)
Lineage: Eukaryota; Metazoa; Chordata; Aves; Passeriformes; Estrildidae
Source: RefSeq, a predicted model, not a curated record
AUUAGGAGUUGAGGUGUCUUCAUGGCAAUAAGUUUUCCUUCUUCUGUUAUAAUUGCUAGGUGAUUAACUUCCUAGAAAUAUCAAGUUUGGAUUAAUAUAUUGUCCUUGGGUGGUACCAGAGCUUCAGAUUACCUUGGUGUGCAUGUAGAUAUUAAAUAUUGAAAGCUGUUUUCAUGUUCUCACGUGAUGGAGCUCUGGGUAAACAAGUCCUGCUGAGCAGUUUGGGAAUUAUGUACACACUGGUUUGCCUUAGGAAAUCUGCCAUUUAAGCCUUUGUCCUGAUUUUUGAUGGCUAUAGUAAUAGGAGUGGUAGACAAGGAACCAUAGCAGCGAGUGUUACUGAGAGGAGGAACCAUUGUCCUGACAUUGUGAAGAAAAUCUGUUUAAGCUCAUGAAUAACUGAAAUGCUUACCAACUACUGUCACUAAUCCUCAUGAAACAAUUUUCAAUCUUCUUUUUCUUCCAAAGGCAUUCAAAAGCAAAAGGCUCUGAUGUUGUAUAGUGUCUUUGCUUCAAGAUUUGUUCCCCAUGUGUUCAAUCUGGAGACAAACAAAUCACCUUCUGCUGUUCAACAGUUGCAUAUUGUUCAAAAGGUUUCUGCAACAGCUUUCCAAAAUGAAAAAACAUGAGGGCUUCUGACCAGGAGCAGUGGAGAUUUUUCCUGGUUGUGGACUACUGAGCUCACCUUGGGAACUCCAAAGACAUGUGUGAAUUCAUAUAGAAUAAAAUACUUAUAGAAUGGACAUUUGAAUCUGGUAGAGUUGAAGGAUGCUUUAAUGGAAAAAACGUCUGUUUUCUUUAAGUAAGUGGAACUUUCCAAGCUGUCAUGAAAUUAAUUUCAGUUUUCAUUUGGGUGUAGGUUGUAGGAGUAUCUCACUUGAAAUUAUAAUCUACACUUACAAAAACAGUGUCAUUUUUCUACCAAUUCAACAACAAAGUAAAUUUAAAUCCUACAUGAGAAGAGGUGGGCAGAUGUUAAACAGGCUUCCAGUGGCACUUCCAGUGGAAAUUCUGUUAAUUCCUUCCAUGGUUUUAGCAUGUAUUUAGCGGUAGAGUAAUGGAUUUUUUUUUUUUUUUUUAGGACCGAGAAAGCAAAACUGCAUGCUAAAUUUUCAGGGGCUUGACAGUGGUAGUGUACUGUAACCCUGUUUUUUCUCAGCACACGGGAUUCAGUCUUAAAACCAGAAUUGUUUGAUUGUUCCUAAAGGGUGUGCAGUGAGGUUACUGCUCAUAAGAUGAGCUGUGAACACUGUGCAUUCAUCUAGCCCAAAGCAAAUGCAAAAUAAUGCAAUGUAGCUUGACCUUUUCUCAUUGCAGGUUAACCUGAGUCUAAUUAGCCUAGGUUUGCCUUAGGCUAAAAGUGGACGGGAAUCACAGCUUGGCUGAGUAAUAACUUUUUAACUCUUUGUAACUUGCUUUUGUAUUUACAUCCUGCGCUGUUAGGGGGGAAGCUAGGAGCUGGAGGUAGAACAAAGGAGGACAAACCAAAAGUGCUUGUUGCAGCAGUAGUAGUCACCUGCUAGAAAUUUACACUGAAGCUCAGCACUAAACAUCUGCUCAGUGUUGUGCACCGGCUUCACUAACUUACAGGCCAAACAGUUUUAAGAACAAUCCCCAAAAUAAAAAGUGGACCAGUAACUUAGUAUCAACAGCACGAGGGCUUUUUUUCUUUUUUCCCCUUUUGACAUUGUGAGAAAAUGUGCAGGGUCAAAAUUUAUACUAGUGUCUAAAGCGAAGUUCUUAAGUUUUAAUUUUGUUUGCCUUUGUGGUAUUGGGUGAGCUACAUCUUAAAUAUCACAUCUAUUUCUUUAAACUUGUCUAAUUUUUAUUAGCCAUUGUGAAAGUAUUUCAAUUCAGGUCUGUUUCUCACUGACUCCAAAUAAGGUCGCUGAAUUGGGGAUUCAGUACUCUGGGCUUAAAGUUUAGAACAAAGAAAUAACCAGUUUUGAGACACUUGUUUUUUCUGUGCUCUGUAAAAUCACAGAUUCGUUAAUUUGCUCUGAAAGUACUCUAGAUAGCUUAAGAAAUAAACUGUCAGUUUGUAUGCUGAAGUAGUUGUGGCAAUGCACUUUUGGAACUUUCCUUUCAAAAUGUGAGUAGAAGCUUUUUUUCUUUUUUUCUAUUUUGCAUGGUAUGUGCUUUCCUUACUGUGUGUUCUGCAGUAAAAGGUCAUUGCAGCUUGAGCUACCAGUUGGGAUAUUUGUAGCUUAUACUGUCAAGUCACAUCCAGAAGUUCAUGCAAAUUUUUGAAGUUUAUUUUUUCACCAGCGUAGCUGAAAAGCAGGAAUUUCACUACCUUGUUUCAAUUAAUGUGUAACGUAAUGAAACUAAGAAUUAUACAGCUACAUUCUAAAUUCUAAAUUUGCAAAAUGACAUGUAGCUAGCAUGAAAUUUGGUUUCACAAGUUAUUAAAAAAUUCCUUAUGUGAGGCUUUAAACCCCACACUUGCAAAUAACUUGUUUAGCUAGUGGUGGUAUGUACCAGGUAGUCUCAGCAUGUUUAUGCCUUUGAGUGUGGUUCAAAAUCUCCAACACUUCAGUCUAGUUUUUGUAGCUAGAAAUAAAUA